AAAUAUGACGUGUAUCAGUGUACAAGCCCACUAUAAUCGAAUAUGUUCUAACGAUUCUGCCUUUUUUAUUGAGAAAUAAUUAAGGCGGCGAUCUUACAGAAUCGUUAACACAUCGGGCAAAAUGCUUAGCGGCAUUUCGUCCGUCUGCACAUUCGGAGUUCAAAUUUCGCCGAGGUCGACUUUGCCUUACAUUUUUCGGAAAUCGAUAAAAUAAGUACCAGUUGAACAAUGGGGUCGAUGUAAUCGACUCAUCCCCUCCACCAAAACUGCUGCCCUUGGUAGCAAAAUUUGAAACCAUUAUUGAGAAAGAAUUAACGACAGACGAUGGCAUACAACGUGGUCUUUCAUUCGCUCGUCCAGUUUUGUUCUUGGAGAGUAACUUGACCAACAGAGUUAUCCCCCCUUAAGGUAUGACAGGGUCAACAAAGAAUGGUGCCAUUCUUCAGCUGAACACAUGGAACAGUAAAUAUGGUUAAAUCCGUCAAUGUCAUUUGCCAGGACCUUUAUGACUGGAGGCAGGAAAUUAUCCCACACUGCAGAGAGACCUGGUCCAGAGGCUUACAAAGGAGUGGACUCUGAUAAAGGAGUCCAAAACGGGGCAAGUAUUACAGUGGACAAGAGAUUAACUCUUUAGCAUUUAAACAGGCCAUAUCCAGCCCAAAUAUUCUGUCUUAUGUUCAAGCCAGGCAUAUCUGGCCUCUCACACCUACCCUACAAUGUCUUCCCGAAAAUAUACAAUCACAUUAUUGUAAUUUCACAGCUACAAGAUAAUGCAUGAUUAAUUAGAAACAAGGUGAACAAAUUAGCAUUAUAUUUGACAGAGUAAUCUAAAUGCUAACGGAACAAUCUACCACCCUAGAAAUAGGAAUACUCCCACAGACAGGCUCGUAAGGCAACAAUUGAAGCCACUUGCCCAAGUGAGUGAAUUUAGAACCAUGUGGUUGCAAAGUGAAUUUCUCAAUGACACAGCUAUGCUUGCCCCCGGUUAGUAUAUAUAUAUAUAGCAACAACACUAUCCUGUGAAUAUCAAUAUUACUUCAAUAUAGAUCUUAUUUGAACAAAAACAAAAUACACUUAUCACAAAUAAGGACUCGCUUUAUUACAGUUUAUUAAUCUAUGGAUGGACAGAAGUGAAUUCCAUUCAAAUAUUGUUACAUGUUGCUUAUCACAUUACAACACCAAAACUCAAAGUUACUGUUUCAAUCUUCACAUGAGUGCUCAACUGUUUUUUUUUUUUAAACUGUUCAUACAGAGAUUUUGUAAGCGAUGUGACCUACAUGAUCAUUCCUCCAUAUCAAAUCGUAGAUCAAAGUAGGUGUGGUGACAAUAGCAAAGAACUGGCUGUUGAUUGAUUGUCACAUAUUUGUGUUGAACUGUGAACAACAACAACAACAAUUAUAGGCAGAGAGGACUUCACAGUUAUCCCACCUCUUCCUGCUUACUUCUGCUAUAAAACAAUUUUACUGCAACCCAAAAAUCACAGCUUUUUACCUGAUUUUAUUGUCAAAACAAAAGGUAGAAAUGAAUUUUGAAAUUCUCCACCCCAUCACAAACAGCUUACCUAAAAUUUGAAAUUUCAAAUUCACACACACACACAUACAAACUAAAACAAAAAAUAAAUAAAAAUAAAAAGCAAAAUAUAUAAACAAAUGUUGUUAUGUAUUAAAAUAAUCAAACAUCUGAA
This is a long non-coding RNA of Octopus bimaculoides (California two-spot octopus), 1684 nucleotides long. RefSeq lists it as uncharacterized. The record is from RefSeq and is a predicted model, not a curated record. NCBI's taxonomy places the organism in Eukaryota, Metazoa, Mollusca, Cephalopoda, Octopoda, Octopodidae.